Molecule: long non-coding RNA, 999 nt
Filed under: Olea europaea (common olive)
Lineage: Eukaryota; Viridiplantae; Streptophyta; Magnoliopsida; Lamiales; Oleaceae
Description: long non-coding RNA (OEUR_LNC009213)
Source: RNAcentral
CCUAUAUUCCCGUAAGAGACAUUACUUAGCUUUACUGACAUUUUACUGUCAUUUUCACCCAAGCUCUUCAAGCAGCAUCAUUUGCGCAAAAAUCCCAUUGCCUGGUAGCUGGUAGGCAUCAUUUAGAGUAACAUCUGCUAUGGCUGAAGCUUUACUGGCACCUUCUGGCUUCUGCCAAAAUGGUAUCCAAGUAAGACGGGUCAGACAUAAUUUCUUCGUAUUGGACCUGCAACGUAGAAAACCGAAUAGUUCGUAAUCAACAUGAUAUUUGACUUGCUAAAGCAUAUUGACUGAAGAUCUGUUUAGAAGCUAAUGUUAGAGUAUAUUUGCGGCCAAGAAAAUUAGUUUACUUAUUUCCAUGUAUAGGCUAAUCAAAUCAUUAAUUCCAUUGUAUAGCUAAUUAUUUUCCUUCCUUAUAUAGCUUGUAAUAUUCUAUAAAUCAAAUGUAAUACACCGAGAAAAGUCAUUCAGCAAAAUGUGUCAUGGUAUCACAGCGCUAACCUUUUUUCCUCUUUCGUGUAGUUGCGGGGUGGGCAACGAUUUUUCUAGCAGCACUCAGUUCUUGGUUAUCAUAAUAGGCAUCACGGUGGUUGCCUCUUGCGUUUUCGGCGUUCGAUUGAUUGUUCAUACUCGGUGUCUUCGGUGGUGGUUCUCUUGCAUUUUCGACGGUCGCCUCUCAGUUUGUUGCAGCCUCUGCAUGUUCUUCGAUUUUUUGGCAAGCCUAGCUGUGGGUCUUGGUCGGAGCAGAGUUUUCAGUUUCUGGUCCUCGGUCAUCUACGAGCGUCGUGGUCGGGGCAGGGUUAUCAAUUUCCAACCAUCUCCGAGCGUCGUCUCUGUGAGUCGUGUUAUUGGACUAUGGUGUUGUGUUAUAAAUUUAAGUGGAAAUCACACCAAGCUGUUUUUAAAGAUGACAGUUCAAAAAUAAGAUGUAAUGUUUAGUUAAUCAUAAAUCAGGCGAUUAUUUAAUUAUUAUUAAUAAUUUAAAAUUAAAUUAAUCCC